Molecule: ribosomal RNA, 253 nt
Filed under: uncultured bacterium
Lineage: Bacteria
Description: partial 16S ribosomal RNA
Rfam family: Bacterial small subunit ribosomal RNA
Source: RNAcentral
UACGGAGGGGGCUAGCGUUAUUCGGAAUUAUUGGGCGUAAAGGGCGUGUAGGCGGCUUCGUGUGUCCCAUGUGAAAGCCCUCAGCUCAACCGGGGAACUGCAUGGGAAACUGCGGAGCUUGAGUCCGGGAGAGGAGAGCGGAAUUCCCAGUGUAGCGGUGAAAUGCGUAGAUAUUGGGAGGAACACCGGUGGCGAAGGCGGCUCUCUGGACCGGUACUGACGCUGAGACGCGAAAGCCAGGGGAGCAAACGGG